UAUCGUAACGCAGGACGAAGCACAGCAGAAGCCCUGGCAUCACAAUAUCUCCAAUCCCCAGCAUGGAGAAGUGGCUGCCUGUGGAACUGAAGAGCAACUGGAAUUGGGUUCAUGGCCAAAACAAAAGCAUCCUAACAUGUAAAGAUACAAGAACAGAGUAAUACCCUAACAAAACUUACUGCCUGCCUGCUGCUGCACUGAGCUUGCUGCCCCAGCAGGCCCUGGGCGUGUCUGCUUGCAGAUGUGAGCCACCAGGGAACCCCUGGAGCAGGGACAUGGGGAAUGAUCUCCCUUCAGCACUGCUUGCUUGGUAAGCCACCCUUGCUUAGAUCAGUUUCCAAUUCCUUCCCCAUCAUCUGCAAUUACACAGUAAUUCAGACUGUUCUGAUGUUACAAUAGACCUUGUAUCUUUUAAGAGUGAGGUCACACUAGCAAUCAUCAGGCUGCAGAACUCUCACAAAUGUCGAGAAGUGCAUCCUGCUCUGAACAGGGCACCUUCUACCCCAGCCAGGCUCUUUUCUCUAUGAAUCUGCAGUGUCCAGUCCUCACUGCUCACCACAUUCCUCUACAGCCUGAAGAGGGAAUGACUAAACAGGGAUUUUCCAACAGAGUUAGCACUACUAAGUACAUGGAGGGAAAACAUUCCUCAUGUAGUACAGUGAAAGAAGCUUUUACCUUGGGAACACAAGUUUGCCAGGCAGCGACAGACGGGGAACAUCUCUGCCCACAUUUGGUCCCAGGUGAAGUUUCCGUGAUAACACAUCCAGGGGGUUGUCAGCUGGUUGUGUGGCCACUUUCACCAUAACAUUGCUGUUAAAGAUGUAGGCAGAAAAAAAGACC
Passer domesticus (house sparrow) is the source of this 840-nucleotide long non-coding RNA. RefSeq lists it as uncharacterized. NCBI's taxonomy places the organism in Eukaryota, Metazoa, Chordata, Aves, Passeriformes, Passeridae. The transcript has 2 exons. The record is from RefSeq and is a predicted model, not a curated record.